GGCUCAGGACGAACGCUGGCGGCGUGCCUAACACAUGCAAGUCGAGCGGGGACAUACGACGGAUCGGAAGUUUCGGAUGGAAGAGAAGAUGUAUGUUCUAGCGGCGGACGGGUGAGUAACGCGUGAGCAACCUGUCCUUCACAGGGGGAUAACACAGCGAAAGUUGUACUAAUACCGCAUGAGACCACAUUGGGACAUCCCAGAGGGGUCAAAGGAGCAAUCCGGUGAAGGGUGGGCUCGCGUCCGAUUAGAUAGUUGGUGAGGUAACGGCCCACCAAGUCGACGAUCGGUAGCCGACCUGAGAGGGUGAUCGGCCACAUUGGGACUGAGACACGGCCCAAACUCCUACGGGAGGCAGCAGUGGGGAAUAUUGGGCAAUGGGGGAAACCCUGACCCAGCAACGCCGCGUGAGGGAAGAAGGUUUUCGGAUCGUAAACCUCUGUCCUUGGUGAAGAGUGAGAGACGGUAGCCAAGGAGGAAGCCCCGGCUAACUACGUGCCAGCCGCAGC
This 509-nucleotide ribosomal RNA is filed under the name uncultured bacterium. RNAcentral's name for it is "bacterial SSU rRNA". It matches the Rfam family "Bacterial small subunit ribosomal RNA", at positions 21 to 518 of the family's 1533-position model. The record is from RNAcentral.